UACGUAGGUGGCAAGCGUUGUCCGGAUUUACUGGGUGUAAAGGGCGUGCAGCCGGGCUGACAAGUCAGAUGUGAAAUCCCGCGGCUCAACCGCGGAACUGCAUUUGAAACUGUCAGUCUUGAGUACCGGAGAGGUCAUCGGAAUUCCUUGUGUAGCGGUGAAAUGCGUAGAUAUAAGGAAGAACACCAGUGGCGAAGGCGGAUUACUGGACGGCAACUGACGCUGAGGCUCGAAAGCGUGGGGAGCAAACAGG
RNAcentral lists this ribosomal RNA (253 nucleotides) under uncultured bacterium. RNAcentral's name for it is "partial 16S ribosomal RNA". It matches the Rfam family "Bacterial small subunit ribosomal RNA", at positions 524 to 776 of the family's 1533-position model. The record is from RNAcentral.